GAUGAACGCUGGCGGCGUGCCUAAUACAUGCAAGUCGAGCGAACAGACGAGGAGCUUGCUCCUCUGACGUUAGCGGCGGACGGGUGAGUAACACGUGGAUAACCUACCUAUAAGACUGGGAUAACUUCGGGAAACCGGAGCUAAUACCGGAUAAUAUAUUGAACCGCAUGGUUCAAUAGUGAAAGACGGUUUUGCUGUCACUUAUAGAUGGAUCCGCGCCGCAUUAGCUAGUUGGUAAGGUAACGGCUUACCAAGGCAACGAUGCGUAGCCGACCUGAGAGGGGGACGGCCACCAGGGAAAUGGAGACCGGGCCAAACACCGACGGGGGGGAGGAAGGGGGGAUCUUUCCGAAAGGGGGAAAAGCUGGCGGGAGCACGGCGGGGGGAGGAAUGAAGUUCUUGGAACAUAAAACCUUUGUUAUUAGGGAAAAAAAAAUGUGAAAGAAACUAUGCCCGUCUUGAGGGAACCUAAUCGGAAAGCCCGGGCAAACUAGGUG
Molecule: ribosomal RNA, 497 nt
Filed under: uncultured bacterium
Lineage: Bacteria
Description: partial 16S ribosomal RNA
Rfam family: Bacterial small subunit ribosomal RNA
Source: RNAcentral